AGAAGGGGAAAGGAGAGAGAAGGCGAGAGAGAGAGGAGGUUUGGGGGUAUACUAUCCAACUAUCAGCAUGCCACUAAGACAAUAGAUUGCCUUAGCCAUAUUCGUUCCCCAAAUAAGCUACCUUCCUUUUUCCGCGCGUUCCCACACCUCGGCUUCCUCUGUUCCCCCCCAAUACCCUCCCCAAAAUCCUCUUGCUUUGCAGCUUCAAGACCGGGAAUUGUGAGGAAGGGGGUGCAAUGGCCAAAAAUAAGUGAAUUCCUUACGGAUUGCCCUAAACAGACGAUUUUAUUUGCCUCCUACCGAACCAACAAAUGUUUUCGGAGAUGCUUCACAAACACACGGAGGCAGAACAACCAACGGCACAACACACAAAACAAGGAGAGCAGCCGAGACUAUCCUAACGUCACCACAGCAGCCUUGCAGAUUUGGCAAAGGAAGGAAGGGAGCAGAAUCUGGAGGCGAACCUUGAAAGAAUGAAAGAAAGAAAGA
This is a long non-coding RNA of Pogona vitticeps (central bearded dragon), 489 nucleotides long. RefSeq lists it as uncharacterized. NCBI's taxonomy places the organism in Eukaryota, Metazoa, Chordata, Lepidosauria, Squamata, Agamidae. The record is from RefSeq and is a predicted model, not a curated record.